RNAcentral lists this ribosomal RNA (468 nucleotides) under uncultured bacterium. RNAcentral describes it as "partial 16S ribosomal RNA". It matches the Rfam family "Bacterial small subunit ribosomal RNA", at positions 28 to 507 of the family's 1533-position model. The record is from RNAcentral.
GACGAACGCUGGCGGCGUGCUUAACACAUGCAAGUCGAACGGAAAGGCCCUGCUUUUGUGGGGUGCUCGAGUGGCGAACGGGUGAGUAACACGUGAGUAACCUGCCCUUGACUUUGGGAUAACUUCAGGAAACUGGGGCUAAUACCGGAUAGGAGCUCCUGCUGCAUGGUGGGAGUUGGAAAGUUUCGGCGGUUGGGGAUGGACUCGCGGCUUAUCAGCUUGUUGGUGGGGUAGUGGCUUACCAAGGCUUUGACGGGUAGCCGGCCUGAGAGGGUGACCGGCCACAUUGGGACUGAGAUACGGCCCAGACUCCUACGGGAGGCAGCAGUGGGGAAUAUUGCACAAUGGGCGGAAGCCCGAUGCAGCAACGCCGCGUGCGGGAUGACGGCCUUCGGGUUGUAAACCGCUUUCGCCUGUGACGAAGCGUGAGUGACGGUAAUGGGUAAAGAAGCACCGGCUAACUACGUG